RNAcentral lists this ribosomal RNA (425 nucleotides) under uncultured bacterium. RNAcentral describes it as "partial 16S ribosomal RNA". It matches the Rfam family "Bacterial small subunit ribosomal RNA", at positions 359 to 776 of the family's 1533-position model. The record is from RNAcentral.
GAAUUUUGGACAAUGGGCGAAAGCCUGAUCCAGCAAUGCCGCGUGCAGGAUGAAGGCCUUCGGGUUGUAAACUGCUUUUGUCCGGAACGAAAAGCUUUGGGUUAACACCCUGGAGUCAUGACGGUACCGUAAGACUAGGCACCGCCUAACACCGUCCAGGCAGCCGCGGUAAUACGUAGGGUGCAAGCGUUGAUCGGAAUUACUGGGCGUAAAGCGUGCGCAGGCGGUUUUGUAAGACAGAGGUGAAAUCCCCGGGCUCAACCUGGGAACUGCCUUUGUGACUGCAAGGCUAGAGUACGGCAGAGGGGGGUGGAAUUCCGCGUGUAGCAGUGAAAUGCGUAGAUAUGCGGAGGAACACCGAUGGCGAAGGCAACCCCCUGGGCCUGUACUGACGCUCAUGCACGAAAGCGUGGGGAGCAGACAGG